UGCCCAGAAUGGUGUUGAUCUGAGAUCAGA
This 30-nucleotide non-coding RNA is filed under the name Mus musculus (house mouse). The record is from RNAcentral. Lineage: Eukaryota; Metazoa; Chordata; Mammalia; Rodentia; Muridae.